RNAcentral lists this ribosomal RNA (460 nucleotides) under uncultured bacterium. RNAcentral describes it as "partial 16S ribosomal RNA". It matches the Rfam family "Bacterial small subunit ribosomal RNA", at positions 338 to 795 of the family's 1533-position model. The record is from RNAcentral.
CCUACGGGAGGCAGCAGUGAGGAAUAUUGGUCAAUGGACGAGAGUCUGAACCAGCCAAGUAGCGUGAAGGAUGACUGCCCUAUGGGUUGUAAACUUCUUUUAUAAAGGAAUAAAACGAGGCACGUGUGCCUUUUUGCAUGUACUUUAUGCAUAAGGAUAGGCUAACUCCGCGCCAGCAGCCGAGGUAAUACGGAGGAUCCGAGCGUUAUCCGGAUUUAUUGGGUUGAAGGUGAGCGUAGAUGGGUUGUUAAGUCAGUUGUGAAAGUUUGUGGCUCAACCUGAAAAUUGCAAUUGAUACUGGCAGUCUUGAGUACAGUUGAGGUAGGCAGAAUUCGUGGUGUAGCGGUGAAAUGCUUAGAUAUCACGAAGAACCCCGAUUGCGAAGGCAGCUUACUAAACUGUGACUGACAUUGAUGCUCGAAAGUGUGGGUAGCAAACAGGAUUAGAUACCCGAGUAGUC